AACGAACGCUGGCGGCAUGCCUAACACAUGCAAGUCGAACGAGACCUUCGGGUCUAGUGGCGCACGGGUGCGUAACGCGUGGGAACCUGCCCUUAGGUUCGGAAUAACUCCCCGAAAGGGGUGAUAAUACCGGAUAAUGUCUUCGGACCAAUGAUUUAUCGACUUUGAAUGGGCCGGCGUUGGAUUAGCUAGUUGUUAGGGUAAAAGCCUAUCAAGGCGACGAUCCAUAGCUGGUCACAGAGGAUGAUCAGCAACACUGGGACUGAGACACGGCCCAGACUCCUACGGGAUGCAGCAGUGGGGAAUAUAGGAACAUGGGCGAAAGCCUGAUCCAGCAAGGCCGCGUGAGUGAUGAAAGUCUUAGGGUUGUAAAGCUCUAUUACCCGGGAUGAUAAUGACAGUACCGGGUGAAUAAGCUACGGCUAACUCCGUG
This 433-nucleotide ribosomal RNA is filed under the name uncultured bacterium. Its description in RNAcentral is "partial 16S ribosomal RNA". It matches the Rfam family "Bacterial small subunit ribosomal RNA", at positions 29 to 507 of the family's 1533-position model. The record is from RNAcentral.